Setaria italica (foxtail millet) is the source of this 349-nucleotide long non-coding RNA. RefSeq lists it as uncharacterized. The record is from RefSeq and is a predicted model, not a curated record. The transcript has 2 exons. NCBI's taxonomy places the organism in Eukaryota, Viridiplantae, Streptophyta, Magnoliopsida, Poales, Poaceae.
GGAGCGAUGAAUUUUCUCUUUUGGUGUCGUCAAAGCAAAAGGGCAGGAUGAAGCGAAGCAGCCUUAUUGGUGAAGGAUCGUGGAUCGGGUAUUGAAACGGUCGAACUCUCGCGAGCCGCCUUGAAGGGGAUACGCACAGCUGGGGCCCAGCAGUCAGCCGGUGAGACUAUUGCUUUUUUUUUAAUAAAGGGUGAGACUAUUGCUUGACUCGCCUUUUACGCGGUUCAGGGAUGGAACAAUGACACCUCCAGGUUAGGAUCUUCUAUUCAUGCGAGUGUGAGCGCGGCUCGUCAUGUCUUUCCCCUUCCUCUGCAGUUCAUGCCAAUCAGGAAUUAAUUGGGUUUUUUUA